Molecule: long non-coding RNA, 227 nt
Filed under: Brassica napus (rape)
Lineage: Eukaryota; Viridiplantae; Streptophyta; Magnoliopsida; Brassicales; Brassicaceae
Description: long non-coding RNA (BNAP_LNC015099)
Source: RNAcentral
AAGCAUUACUUAUAUAUACACUAAUAGAGAACUCCAAACAGUAGUACAGUUUAUGCUCUUUAAAACACUUGGAAAAUGUAGGGAAAUAAUGGAUUGUGGUACUUAAUAUUCUCAACAACGCUAGUCUUUAAUGUGUAUAAAUACCCAUCAAUACUGUGACAACAUUUUUGAUGAGUUUUAAAUGAGUGAACACUGUCAAUCAAUUCAAAUUAACUGUACCUUAUCCA